RNAcentral lists this ribosomal RNA (253 nucleotides) under uncultured bacterium. RNAcentral describes it as "partial 16S ribosomal RNA". It matches the Rfam family "Bacterial small subunit ribosomal RNA", at positions 524 to 776 of the family's 1533-position model. The record is from RNAcentral.
UACGUAGGUGGCAAGCGUUGUCCGGAUUUAUUGGGUUUAAAGGGUGCGUAGGCGGCUUUGUAAGUCAGUGGUGAAAUAUGGCAGCUCAACUGUCAGGGUGCCAUUGAUACUGCGGAGCUUGAGUUCAGAUGAGGUAGGCGGAAUUGACGGUGUAGCGGUGAAAUGCUUAGAUAUCGUCAAGAACACCGAUAGCGAAGGCAGCUUACUGGGCUGUAACUGACGCUGAGGCACGAAAGUGUGGGGAUCAAACAGG